CCGGGAACGAGCGCAACCCACAUCCUUAGUUGCCAGCAGUUCGGCUGGGCACUCUAGGGAAACUGCCCGUGAUAAGCGGGAGGAAGGUGUGGAUGACGUCAAGUCCUCAUGGCCCUUACGGGCGGGGUACCCACGUGGUACAAUGGCAGGGACAGGGGGUUAAUCCCAAAAAGCAAUCUCACUUUGGUCCGGGGUAUGCA
Molecule: ribosomal RNA, 200 nt
Filed under: uncultured Sulfitobacter sp.
Lineage: Bacteria; Pseudomonadati; Pseudomonadota; Alphaproteobacteria; Rhodobacterales; Roseobacteraceae
Description: partial 16S ribosomal RNA
Rfam family: Bacterial small subunit ribosomal RNA
Source: RNAcentral